GAUGAAGCCGAAACAUCAGUGGCUUCAGUUGAAGAUCAGUUAAGAAAAGAAAUCACCGUGUAUGAGUGGAUUCAUGUGUCAAUUGGAUUGUUUGACAAAUGUGCAAUUCCAAUAGUUGCACACGCGAGAGCUAUAUAGGCUUGCAAAUGCUGUUUCUACAGCUUGUGCACUAAUGUGCUCCUGGAGGUGGGUGACCAUAUAUAUCAAGGACUGGUGAAUCGAUGAAGGCUCCUGGAGGUGGGUGAGCAUAUAUAUCAAGGGCUGGUUUUGAGAGCAACCUAAAAGGGUAUUUUGAUGGGCAUCAUGGCAGUUCUAAGGGAAAAUGGAUGUGUAAAAGUUCAAGUUCUUUUAACUUCUUUUGAU
This 363-nucleotide long non-coding RNA is filed under the name Helianthus annuus (common sunflower). RNAcentral's name for it is "sRNA HanXRQr2_Chr10g0458231". The record is from RNAcentral. Lineage: Eukaryota; Viridiplantae; Streptophyta; Magnoliopsida; Asterales; Asteraceae.